CAGCAGCCGCGGUAAUACGAAGGGUGCAAGCGUUAAUCGGAAUUACUGGGCGUAAAGCGUGCGUAGGCGGUGAGUUAAGUCUGCUGUGAAAUCCCCGGGCUCAACCUGGGAAUGGCAGUGGAUACUGGCUCGCUAGAGUGUGUCAGAGGAUGGUGGAAUUCCCGGUGUAGCGGUGAAAUGCGUAGAGAUCGGGAGGAACAUCAGUGGCGAAGGCGGCCAUCUGGGACAACACUGACGCUGAGGCACGAAAGCGUGGGGAGCAAACAGGAUUAGAUACCCCCGGUAGUCCCUGUCUCUUAUA
This 301-nucleotide ribosomal RNA is filed under the name uncultured bacterium. RNAcentral's name for it is "partial 16S ribosomal RNA". It matches the Rfam family "Bacterial small subunit ribosomal RNA", at positions 509 to 808 of the family's 1533-position model. The record is from RNAcentral.